CGGCUUCGAAGCUAAUAUUCAAAGAGGAAUAAACACGAUUUUUACUGAGCACAGAUAAGUAAAGUAAAUUCGUAACUGAUCAAACCAGUUGUCUAUCAACAAGUUACAAAAACUACUAGCAAAGCUAAUUUUGUACAAUUUUUUUCUCAGCUGCCAUAUCUGCGCAGAGAAUUCCCCAAUUAUUUAUUAUCUAUUUAACAUUUCCACGAGAAAUCCUUGCAAAAGUACAGCUCAGUACGGCAAGCAUACAUUGUUAUACAUUCAGUAAUCCCUGGUAAUUCAUGUAAUCUAAUUAGGUACUGUGUGGUCACUCCGCUCCAGGGUCUGACCGCAUUCCACUGCAGUUGGAUCAACUAACGAUGGAUUUUUUUGUGCGAACACGAUUAGAAAGACUCUCUAAUUUCUUCAAAACAAUUUCUACUAGAAGUUUAAUCCAAAAAGUGUUUUUCGUGUCGUUAUUUGAUAGCUGGAAGAGCACUCGUGCAAUACGUGGCAGGAUUUCUCAGGAUACUAAGAUCAUGCUGUGUCGUACAAGAAGGAUGUAUACUGAAGCCCCUCGUCCGUUAUUUCCCAGAACGCUGCCGGAUUAUAAUUACCUACGAAACAAUGGUAUUAAGAACUCCAAAACAAUACAAACAAAGAAAACGAUGAAUGGAAUACGAGAAUGUUUGCAGAAAGUCAACAGGAUAUUCUUGUGAUGAAGGAUUUUUAGUCAACAUGACAUGGGCUUCUAUCAGCAAAUGUCAGAUGACUGCAACGAAAAAAUUCCGGUGGUGUGAGAAGAAAAGAAUGACCUGUAGGAAAAGCAUACACAUUUUAGAAACGGAAAGUAAAAAGAGAAAGAGAAAGAGAAAAAAAGAGUGAAUGUGUGUCAGUACCUCACGAAACCCCUUUUCUGCCGAUGAUGCAAUGGUCCUGAUAACCCGAUUAAAUGUCCCAAAUAAACAGCGUUAACCUGUUGCUAUCUCUCGUUCUGUAUCGUCCUGUAACAGCGAUUAUUUGUGAUUAUUUUCAGCAUGUUUCGUUUAUAAUAAAUUUGUAUAUAAUAUUUAAUUUCA
Molecule: long non-coding RNA, 1058 nt
Organism: Actinia tenebrosa (Australian red waratah sea anemone)
Lineage: Eukaryota; Metazoa; Cnidaria; Anthozoa; Actiniaria; Actiniidae
Source: RefSeq, a predicted model, not a curated record